AGAAGGCUAUGUUGGCCGGGCGACGGUUGUCCCGGUUUAAGCGUGUAGGUGUGUGUUCCAGGUAAAUCCGGUUCACUUUAACACUGAGGCGUGACGACGAGGCACUACGGUGCUGAAGCAACAAAUGCCCUGCUUCCAGGAAAAGCCUCUAAGCAUCAGGUAACAUCAAAUCGUACCCCAAACCGACACAGGUGGUCAGGUAGAGAAUACCAAGGCGCUUGAGAGAACUCGGGUGAAGGAACUAGGCAAAAUGGUGCCGUAACUUCGGGAGAAGGCACGCUGACACGUAGGUGAAGUGAUUUACUCACGGAGCUGAAGUCAGUCGAAGAUACCAGCUGGCUGCAACUGUUUAUUAAAAACACAGCACUGUGCAAACACGAAAGUGGACGUAUACGGUGUGACGCCUGCCCGGUGCCGGAAGGUUAAUUGAUGGGGUCAGCGCAAGCGAAGCUCCUGAUCGAAGCCCCGGUAAACGGCGGCCGUAACUAUAACGGUCCUAAGGUAGCGAAAUUCCUUGUCGGGUAAGUUCCGACCUGCACGAAUGGCGUAAUGAUGGCCAGGCUGUCUCCACCCGAGACUCAGUGAAAUUGAACUCGCUGUGAAGAUGCAGUGUACCCGCGGCAAGACGGAAAGACCCCGUGAACCUUUACUAUAGCUUGACACUGAACAUUGAGCCUUGAUGUGUAGGAUAGGUGGGAGGCUUUGAAGUGUGGACGCCAGUCUGCAUGGAGCCGACCUUGAAAUACCACCCUUUAAUGUUUGAUGUUCUAACGUGGACCCGUAAUCCGGGUUGCGGACAGUGUCUGGUGGGUAGUUUGACUGGGGCGGUCUCCUCCUAAAGAGUAACGGAGGAGCACGAAGGUUGGCUAAUCCUGGUCGGACAUCAGGAGGUUAGUGCAAUGGCAUAAGCCAGCUUGACUGCGAGCGUGACGGCGCGAGCAGGUGCGAAAGCAGGUCAUAGUGAUCCGGUGGUUCUGAAUGGAAGGGCCAUCGCUCAACGGAUAAAAGGUACUCCGGGGAUAACAGGCUGAUACCGCCCAAGAGUUCAUAUCGACGGCGGUGUUUGGCACCUCGAUGUCGGCUCAUCACAUCCUGGGGCUGAAGUAGGUCCCAAGGGUAUGGCUGUUCGCCAUUUAAAGUGGUACGCGAGCUGGGUUUAGAACGUCGUGAGACAGUUCGGUCCCUAUCUGCCGUGGGCGCUGGAGAACUGAGGGGGGCUGCUCCUAGUACGAGAGGACCGGAGUGGACGCAUCACUGGUGUUCGGGUUGUCAUGCCAAUGGCACUGCCCGGUAGCUAAAUGCGGAAGAGAUAAGUGCUGAAAGCAUCUAAGCACGAAACUUGCCCCGA
RNAcentral lists this ribosomal RNA (1348 nucleotides) under Salmonella enterica subsp. enterica serovar Corvallis. RNAcentral's name for it is "partial 23S ribosomal RNA". It matches the Rfam family "Bacterial large subunit ribosomal RNA", at positions 1476 to 2802 of the family's 2925-position model. The record is from RNAcentral. Lineage: Bacteria; Pseudomonadati; Pseudomonadota; Gammaproteobacteria; Enterobacterales; Enterobacteriaceae.